Siniperca chuatsi (mandarin fish) is the source of this 3739-nucleotide long non-coding RNA. RefSeq lists it as uncharacterized. Lineage: Eukaryota; Metazoa; Chordata; Actinopteri; Centrarchiformes; Sinipercidae. The transcript has 3 exons. The record is from RefSeq and is a predicted model, not a curated record.
GUGAAGGUGGGAAGUGGACAUCCUAGCCCUGCACCGCUCCUGUGAGGGAAAAUAUAUUAAAGUGUGCAGGCAGCUUUUCAAACAGUCGUGGACAGGAGCUAUAAAUUGUGUUGGUCCCUGUAAACACGAUUCGUUAAGUGCCAAAAGGUGCCUGGCAGGCGCCCCUCUGUUAUGAAACGUGAAGGGGAGUUGUCAUGGAAUUCUCUUCCCUUUAUUGGUACAGUCCACACCUGGUAAACACAAGCUCCCUUAAAUCCAGGCUACCUGUAAAAUAGCAGACGGAUAAGGUGACCUUGUAACGACAAGUCACCACUGAUGCCUUAACGGUUUCAAACGCUUUUUUUUAAACAUUUAUUGCUCUUGAAUAGAAACCUGGCUUGACUCUGAGUGGCUUUCUCAGCCCUAAGGCCCCUCAAACCAUUAAGAACCUAGUAUACUCGCCAAAAUGUGUGAUUGUCAAUUCUGAAAUGGAUCUGUUUUUCGUACUUCCCAAGAAACUCCCGCCCCCCAUUUUUCAUUUCUAUACAAAUUAGGGUUGUGUUCAAGGGCCGUGACAAGUCCAUAUGCUUUAAAGGAGAUAGGGGAGGCUCCAGAUAAAGAAUUUGAUUUCAGCUCUCGGCUCCUGUAAUUUACACACACUCUUUUUCCACUUAAACUGUCUCGUGAUCUGGGAGACGUGGCAGCGCUUGCUAUUGCCAACGCUCAUCACAUCCAAGAUAACAUUCUGCAUGAAUGAUGAGAAUGUUGAGAAACGUGCAUCAGGUGAAAGGAGGCCAAGGAAAUGCAGGUUUACAGGUUGAACACGCAUCAUUUCACUCGGCCAGGCAGGAAAGAAAUGGGGCAUUUGUGAGGACGGAGAUCAAUGUGUAAUUACCGUAUUUUAUGUGCACCUUUGCGAUCAAUCAUUAACAACGUGAAAGUGUGUAAAAAUUAUGGGAUCGUUAUUUUUAAUGUUUCACUGCUGUCGUAUUGAACAGAACAAAAUCAGCAAUAGGCCUGCUCAUUUUUUUACUCUUAAGCCAAUAAUACCCAGAACAAAUGCACAGACCUGUUCUACAGUGUUAACUUGAACAGUUUCAACUCAAAAUAUGGAGAUAAGUGUUGGAGAAAUCUCACCACAUCCAGCUAGAAAGAUAAAGUUAGUGAUUUUUUUAAAAUCUUUUUUCCUAGAUUAAAAAUCUAAGCGGCUUUGGUUUAUACUUUUUCUGAACAAGGAAAGUGUGUUUUCAUUUACCCUAAAUUUACAUACAGAUUGUUAUAUUCAGUGAGUCAAGGUAAUACUGUUAAUGGCACAAGGGUCUUUUUAAUUGAAGCCAUUAUGGUGAUGUUUACAUGUGAAGUUAAAAAGAAUUUGUGCAUUACUAGCUGACCUUGCCCUGACUUAGGCUAGUCCUUUCAAACUGAUUAUAAAAAGCUAAUGAUUUGCAUAUUCAUUGGUUUCAAGUAUGAACUCAUUGCAACCCUCAUGACUGAGAAUAUUUGUAUUCACAAACCUCAGUAAUCAACAUUAUCAACUGUGUCCUUAUGAAAGGUUAGGCAUAUAUGCAUACUAAUAGCCACUUUAUAGCUUUUACGAACUCACUUGAAAAUUCAAGCUUUUCACUGUGUCUUUUGGUGAUCCUUGCUAAUGUCAGAGUUUAGAGUGACUUUCAACCUUCCAUGGUAGCCAUUGUUUUAAUUUCAUAACAGAAUACAAGCAAGCAGUAGUUUUAUAUGCUGGAUAAUUAUUAAUAUGCUUUUUUUAAAUUAAUGCAUUGGCAAAAAGUUUGUGUUUGUGGUGCAGCCGAUGUGUUCAAAGCCAAUGUAUUAUAGAUACAGAAUGGUGGCAAAGGAAAAAGCGGAAUAUAUAACAGAUGCAGAGGCUUCCAUGCAGAGAACAUGGGUUCACUGAAAGGUCUGAGUAUGGACAGAAGAAGAAGAAAAAAAAUGCUCUGGCCUUGUAGUCACCAGAUCCCAACCCCACUGAGCACCUAUGGUAAAUGUUGGACCAACAUGUUAGACAGCCCUCUCCAUCACCAUUAUCAAAACACCAAAUGAGGGACUAUCUGUUGGAGGAAUGGCUUUAAUCCCUCCAGCAGAGUUCCAGACUUUUAGAAUCUAUGCCAAAGAACACUGAAGCUGUUCCUUUUCCUUUUGUUUGUCAGCCAUCUGUACAUUCCUGCUGAAAAUAUACACAAAAUGCUCACUGUCUACAUCUUUUGUUUUCCUUACAGGAUCCACUUGUGGCAGCUAAAGUACGAUUAAGGAAAGUUAACAUUAGGGAAAUAAAGGUGAUAAACUGAGGUAUGAGACAUGGCACAAACCAACACACUUAUUUGAACAUGAAAGGAAAGGAGCAUUUAUAGAAGCAGAGGUAUCUGACUGGCAGUGCUUGGCCCUCAGCUGCUUCCCAGGUCACUGCUGUAAGUGUGUGUCAUUAGUCAGUUGAACAAAUAAAUAAGAAUUAAGUUACUUUGAGUUCAUAUGCAAUCUUGGAAAGGUUCUGGUCUUCACUGAGGCAAAUGCAAAAAGGUAAACAAAGGAUACGCUCAGUAAUCAAAUCUCUCUCCUCUCAUUUCCUUUGUGUGGAAAAAUCAUCUUAGUUGUGUAUGUGUGUGCGCGGUUCGCUUUUGUGGAGGGCUCACAGCAGUUGAGAGAUGAUAGAGGGAUAACAUUUUCAGCAUCGUGCUGCUCUGUUAUAAUUAGAACAAAUACGCCAGGAAAAUGCAGGCUUGUACACAUACACACACAUUUGUAGGCUUUCUACAGAGUGAAUAAUUCCACAGCUAAAAAUACCCCUGAAAACAAACGGCAUUAAAUCAACCUCAGCAAUGACAAGAAACCCCCCCCCACAGCAUUAAUAUACUGAUUUCUGAACAGCCAAUUUUCAUCGCAGUAAACAAAAAGAAUAAUCAAUACCAGAUGCUAGCUGCAUAGUCGCUAAUUUUAGGUCAUCAUGACCAUCAGAAGUGCUGAAUAUGUUUGAACCACAAAAUGGCUUCCUUGAUCUCCAUGAAGCUAAGGCUGUUUUAAAUGGUUGGUUACGUACAACUGUACCUUAAAUCUGUCUGUCUCUAAUUACCAGGGGAUUGAAAACCAACUGGUGAUAUACUGUGAAAGACACGAUUUGAAACUGUUAGAAAUGACUUUAAAGCAUUUGUUAAGCUCUGUCUUUUCGCUGUCUGUCUGGAGGAAAUUAAUUGGUACCAGUGAGCCAGUGUAAUCAGUCGCAGGAAGAAAAAAAUGUAUAACAUGCAUAAGGGAGUGUGACCUUGGUCUUGUACACAAGUGGGAAGCUAACUCAAAAAACCCACAACUUCCAGUAUGGAAAUUUAUUUGAAUAAGAGUCAUUGCAGAGAGGUAAUGUCAAACAAGCAUCCUUCACUCAAAGCAGCACCGAAGAGGAAAUAGGCUUAGUGUUCCAGACGUGAAUGGGUUGCCAAUAUAAAGUGAGCAAUCCAGUCUGCUUUAGCAUUUAGCCAGUUUUUUCACAGUAAAGAGAGACCAGGAAAGAUAUAAGAGGAAACAAGAGCCAAAGUCCCUUCUGCAGCAGUUGCAGUACAUGGACAGUUCCCCCAGGCGAUCACGAUGACCCUGAUGAAGGCCACAAGCCGCAACGCAUUGGUCUGACAAUGUUGUUCUUUAUACCACAAGUGUUGCUGGAGUUUUGACCUCUUCAGACCUUUUCCCUUCUCCAUGCACCUUGGAGUUUCCUUUUUUGGCCUGUCCUGUGAUAUUACAGCUGCCUGGUUGAAACUGC